GCAGCGGCAGGGUGAAGGGCUCCUCCAGCGCGACCCGAGACGCCGAGGCCGAGGAGGCGCGGAGAGCGAGCGAAGGCUGCUAGCAAGUUGUCAUCUCUCAAUAGUUUUCUGGAAAGUGGGGCCAAAAGAGCUGUUUGGAUAAGCUCUUUGCCGAAGAAUAACGUGAGAAGGAAUUAUGUCUCUGAAUACUUUCUUACCCCAUCAAAUAUGAGCAGCCCAGGAAGACAGUAGAGCAUAAUUUAAUAUGAAAAGGAGGUAGAGUUGGAGGUCUGCAUCUGUUUCUACCUUAUGGAGAAUCAACAGCAAAUACUUGGUUCCUGGAAUACAGGGAGGAGAAAAAUCCAACAGGAGUAUGAUGGAAAAACAAAUGAGCCAGGAAUCCAAAUUCUGCAUGAUAUUUAGUCUGGAAGAUAGAAAAUGGUUUCAUUGAAGACAAGGGAAGAAUGUUUCAAGCCGAAAAGAGUCAACAGUGUCAGAUGCAACAGAGGAACAGUGAAAGAAAACUUUAAAGACAACUGAAAUAAUUUGGCAAGUCAGUCAUUGAUGACGUUUGCCUGACAGUAUCAUUGAAAUGGUGAGGUGAGAAGACUGAUUUCAACUUCCUCUUGUGCAUGGGGGGAGAGAAAUGAGAGUAUUGCAUGAUGACAAAUAAAAUUUCCAGGAGCCUAGUGAUGAAGGGACAUAGACAUUAAGAGAUGUGAGGGGCGUUUGGUGUUUUGCUUGUGUAUACAAAUGUGUUUUUCAAGUUUGAGCAGAUUUAAGCUCUUUAAAAAUUCUGGAUCCAAAUCACAAUAGGAAUACUAAAGUGCACUUAAAAUAUUUGUAUUAUUGUUAAUCAUAUUUGAUACUGUUUUUUCAUGUGUAAAAUUAUUUGAUAUGUAUCUCUAGCCAUAAAAAUUAUUUAACUCAAAUCUAUUUUACUGUUGAAUAGAAACAAUUUAAAAUUAGGUGCUGGAUCUCCCUGAUCUGUAUCCCAACCACUUUGGCUACUCAUGCAUACAUACAUAUAUGUAUAUAUGUAUACACAUGUGUGUGUGUGCACUUAUGUGCUUCAUUAUGUGUUGUUGAAUUAAACUAGAUAAUAAAAAUA
This 1090-nucleotide long non-coding RNA is filed under the name Homo sapiens (human). RNAcentral's name for it is "HSALNT0312663". Lineage: Eukaryota; Metazoa; Chordata; Mammalia; Primates; Hominidae. The record is from RNAcentral.